Melozone crissalis (California towhee) is the source of this 1695-nucleotide long non-coding RNA. RefSeq lists it as uncharacterized. The record is from RefSeq and is a predicted model, not a curated record. Lineage: Eukaryota; Metazoa; Chordata; Aves; Passeriformes; Passerellidae. The transcript is spliced from 3 exons.
CAGAGACAGGACACCGUGGAGCCGAGCUGCCUCCUGGGCAUCCCGGUCCGAACAGCUCCUUGGCAUCCCAACACCAAACUUCGCUGUUUAAUGUGGACCUCUUCAGGCUUUGGAGCCAUACUGGGGAGCUCACUCCGAUACCAUCAGAGAAGUGCCCAAGCUUUGCAGCCUCAUUCAGGCCAAAAAAGAAGCUUGGUGUCAGGCAAACCAGACUGAGGGAGAAUAUACUAGAGGAAAAUACUGUAUUGAUCAGGUUAAUCUUAACAAUGUCAGGAGGAAUUAUAAGUAGCUCAAGAUUGUUCUGCAAAAUUCUACAGCCUCAUGGAUCACCUCACAAAUUGGUGUGAAAUGGAGAAAGGCUGAAGGGUUGACUGCAUAACCCACUCUUACAAACCCAGCAUUAUUGCACCAGGGCUAAAUGCUACAGCCAAAAGCCAGCCCUACCCUGCCACGCUGAGAGUGGUGCUUUAUUUUGGUAGCUGAACUGGAAGCAUUGACUGCAGAAGGGCUGUUAUUGUGCUGCCUGCUUUUCUUGCCUGCUUUGCAAUUGACAAAGCAUCAUUUAUCACGCUUUGCAUUCCAAUUUUUCUUUGCACGUUUUCCAGCUCAUCAUAACAUAAUUAUGUUUCUGUUUCCUUCAGCCAGGGGCUGAUACUUUCUUUUACUAAGACAACAGCUGCACUGCACAACCUUGAUGAAUCCCCAUAAGGGUGAAAAGAGUCUGUGGUGCUUGUUUCUGCCUUGGCAACCCAAAUGUUCAGGCUCUUUUUUGUGACAAAUGCUGCUCUAAAAUGCACCCAACCCUGAUGCUUUCAUAGCAUUUCUCAAAAUUGGGUUUUAUAUUGUAAAUUAGACUUUAAAUAUUAAACAUUCUGCCUGGUUCGUAAUUUUAAAGGCUUCCUUUGUUACAUUUCUGUUUGUGGUGUUUAUAGGUUAUAGACUCUGGAUGGAAUUUAGAAGGCUGUGGUUACUGAUGUGAAAUCUGUAUUUUGAAUGAAAUUGACUUUAUGUGUGACAAUAAGCACAAUCUGAAGGUCUGUUUUAUGUUCCUAAAGAGCAUCUUAAGGCAGCUUUCACAGUACAGGUGAAUCAUUUCCUUGAUUACAGCCUCAGUUGCUCCAGCCUCAUUGUGGCAGAAAGGUAAUUACAGAAACCCCAUCUCUGAAGGGCAUUAACUGCUAAUGAUGGGAAAAGACUCACAGUAUUUUUAUUAUCAGUUGUUGACAUAUUUUAUUUAACUCUAAUGCAGUACUCUGAACCUGAGAUUUUAAAGUACUUCAGAAAGAAAGAAUGAUUUCUGUAUUUUACAUAGGAGAAACCAGUGCAGAGAAAAUCAGGGCUCAAUACUGGAGGCAAGCUGAGGGCAGAAUCCAUUCUUAAUGCUACUGAUUUUGCUUACCCAAUUAUACCAUUACUAAUUCCAAUUUCAUCUCAAAAUCUAUCCAUCAGAGCACUCUGUACAGUGGAAGCAGCAAUGUUUUCAGCCACUGAAUAUUGCCCAGGUUUGUAAAUAUAUGGGACAUUGUGGCCUGGACAAUACCACAGCCUGGACAAUUGCAUUAUUCAGGGCAACAUUUUCCCUACAGUUUUGCUUUCUAUCAUAUUGUUCUGGUGCUAUUACUCCUGACACUAUCAUUUGAAGAUUGUUUGUAUUUAUACAUAAAAAUUACAAUAAAUCUGUAAGUGGAGACAAGA